GAUAUACUAUCGCAACUUGUGAAUUGCUCUUUAAAAACACUUGGACUUAUUUCAACUGCUCGACCAAGCUUUAUGGAUUUACCAAAGUCUCACUUUAUCUCUGCACUGACAGUUGUGUUCGUAAACUCCAAAUCCCUGUCUUCGCUUAAGAUAGAUGAUACUCCAGUAGAUGAUCCAUCUCUCAAAGUACUAGUGGCCAACAAUAGUGAUACACUCAAGCUGUUGAAAAUGAGCAGCUGUCCUCAUGUCUCUCCAGCAGAAACGUGUUCAGUUGAUCAUCAAAUACUUAAAGGACCUUGAAAGCUUGUCUGGCUCUAAUUAAAGCACAGCUACUUGGUGAUCUUAACAGAAACCUGUCCUCUCUCGGAGAAGUGCAACCUCUUCCACUGCGCUGACAGCUUUGUGGGAAGAGGGAGAACUACAGGAAACAAUGAAGAAGUCAGAAGGUGCCUGUUUACCCAAACGUGUCUGCAGCCAUGUUCCUGCAUACCCCGGUUAGAAGAACCGCUGAAGCACUAUGCUAUCAGCUUAAAAUCUAGGUGACUACAAAACCCUGGAAAGUUUGGCACAUAAACUACAUUAGGCAAGAUCAAGGAUGACAUUUGUUCUUUGAUUAAUCAUUAUCACUGCCAUUCAAUGUGACCUGCCAAACAUACACAACUUACAUCUUUACAGCAAUCCUAAAUCCUAAGAUUUAGUGAUGUUAGUAUGCUUAAAGAACACAAGCCAGUUACUAGCUAGUUCCAAA
RNAcentral lists this long non-coding RNA (748 nucleotides) under Homo sapiens (human). RNAcentral's name for it is "non-protein coding lnc-FBXL3-1:3". Lineage: Eukaryota; Metazoa; Chordata; Mammalia; Primates; Hominidae. The record is from RNAcentral.